UGGGGAAUAUUGCACAAUGGGCGAAAGCCUGAUGCAGCGACGCCGCGUGAGGGAUGACGGCCUUCGGGUUGUAAACCUCUUUCAGCAGGGAAGAAGCGAAAGUGACGGUACCUGCAGAAGAAGCGCCGGCUAACUACGUGCCAGCAGCCGCGGUAAUACGUAGGGCGCAAGCGUUGUCCGGAAUUAUUGGGCGUAAAGAGCUCGUAGGCGGCUUGUUGCGUCGGUUGUGAAAGCCCGGGGCUUAACCCCGGGUCUGCAGUCGAUACGGGCAGGCUAGAGUGUGGUAGGGGAGAUCGGAAUUCCUGGUGUAGCGGUGAAAUGCGCAGAUAUCAGGAGGAACACCGGUGGCGAAGGCGGAUCUCUGGGCCAUUACUGACGCUGAGGAGCGAAAGCGUGGGGAGCGAACA
This 407-nucleotide ribosomal RNA is filed under the name uncultured Streptomyces sp. RNAcentral describes it as "bacterial SSU rRNA". It matches the Rfam family "Bacterial small subunit ribosomal RNA", at positions 355 to 774 of the family's 1533-position model. The record is from RNAcentral. Lineage: Bacteria; Bacillati; Actinomycetota; Actinomycetes; Kitasatosporales; Streptomycetaceae.